Molecule: non-coding RNA, 135 nt
Filed under: Corynebacterium imitans
Lineage: Bacteria; Bacillati; Actinomycetota; Actinomycetes; Mycobacteriales; Corynebacteriaceae
Description: SAM-IV sequence
Rfam family: SAM (S-adenosyl methionine) riboswitch aptamer
About the family: SAM-IV is a mRNA element that regulates gene expression via direct sensing of S-adenosylmethionine (SAM or AdoMet). SAM-IV riboswitches share conserved nucleotide positions with the previously described SAM-I riboswitches sequence analysis and molecular recognition experiments suggest that SAM-I and SAM-IV riboswitches share similar ligand binding sites, but have different scaffolds.
Source: Rfam by way of RNAcentral
GAUCACGAAGUCCGACGAGCCCUCUCAUGGGCAAGGCCUCCCGGCCCGUCGGCUGGCAACCGCGCUGAUCGCGCACGGUGCCCCCGGGAGAAGAUCUGUCGGCGUCUGCACACCCGCGCGCCGAAAGUGCGACUU